This 520-nucleotide long non-coding RNA is filed under the name Homo sapiens (human). Its description in RNAcentral is "HSALNT0176951". The record is from RNAcentral. Lineage: Eukaryota; Metazoa; Chordata; Mammalia; Primates; Hominidae.
CCGCCCUCGCCCCCAAACUUGUAGCUUUGUGGAUGGAGGGUGUGGGGGAGGCCGUGUGUAGUGAAAGGACCACCCGGCUGAAGACGGUCCUGGGGGUGGAGGGCAGGAGGGAGCGAGAAGGACAGUUCUGCUCCUGGGAGCCUCUCGUUCCUGGGCGAGGGUCUGGGGACCCUGGAUGAAGUUUUAGGAUCUUUUACAAUGACGGUCUGGGGCAGAGAAUAAAAUUUUGCAGGGAGCAGAUUGAGGGUCUGGAGGACUGGGUUAGGUGGGCUCUAGGUACCCAGGACGAUCUCGGGAGGCGCACAAUGAGAAUCUGGGGGCUCCAGGAUUACGGUGUGGGUGCACAGGAUGAAAUUCUGGGGGCGCAGAUUAGGUAGGACCUAGGUGAGCAGGAUGACAUUUUUGGUGAGCGUCUGGGGGCCCCCGGGUGAGUCUGGGGGCCUGGCAUCAAGGUCGGGGCCCCAGGAUCGAGCACUGGGGGACCCUGGUCCGGCGCCGGGAGGCGGCUCCUGGCGGCGCC